UCCUUAGUGGCUCAGACAGUAAAGAAUCUGCCUGCAAUGCAGGAGACCUAGGUUUGAUCCCUGGGUCAGGAA
RNAcentral lists this transfer RNA (72 nucleotides) under Ovis aries (sheep). It matches the Rfam family "tRNA". From Rfam's summary of the family: Transfer RNA (tRNA) molecules are approximately 80 nucleotides in length. Lineage: Eukaryota; Metazoa; Chordata; Mammalia; Artiodactyla; Bovidae. The record is from Rfam by way of RNAcentral.